This 700-nucleotide long non-coding RNA is filed under the name Homo sapiens (human). Its description in RNAcentral is "non-protein coding lnc-BMP4-2:2". The record is from RNAcentral. Lineage: Eukaryota; Metazoa; Chordata; Mammalia; Primates; Hominidae.
CCCAGGCGCAGGCACACAGUAUAGUGGGGUCAAGCAUCUAGCUGACCUAAUUAAAAGCUCAUUACACUAGCCCAUCCCCAUUAACAGGCUGACCCACGUGCAAAUCCAUUAACGCAGGAUUCUUCCCUGCUUCCCAAAUCAGGAAUCCCAGCCGCAGCCCCGGGGCCUGGAAACUCCGGCCAGUUUAUUAAAGUGCCUUCCCCGCCUGUGACCAUCAGGCAAAGGGAGAAUCUUGCUGGGAAUCUCGCUUCUAGCCAAUGAGGAAUUUUCAGAAAAGCGAAAUGGAAUGCAUCAUUUUGACAUCUCUGCAGAUCUGUAUUCCGAAAGGUACUCAGAUAUCCACGAAGUCCUCCUCAUCUCACACCAUCGUUUCUCUCACUGGGCACAAUCCAGCUUUAAAGAAUUCAACACUUACUGGUCUUCAGAGGACUGUCAGCAAUGACAGCAACCAGGGAUGCUGACAUGUCUUGUUGUUUACAAAGGAUGAGCACAAGGCCUUUUGGAUAACCUGAUAAGCCCUGCAACUCCUCUCUCCCUGUUCCUCACCUCUCUGGACCAGCUGCCUUUGUGUGGUGAGCUAAAGAUGCAAAUAUUAAAACUUGAUCUAAACACCGACAAGUCAGCAAACAGCAGCAAAGAUAAAAUAAGGCUGCUCAAGGAUAUUGUGUAAAUCGUGAAAAUAGUAACAAGAAUAUUUCUG